RNAcentral lists this ribosomal RNA (510 nucleotides) under Salmonella enterica. RNAcentral's name for it is "partial 23S ribosomal RNA". It matches the Rfam family "Bacterial large subunit ribosomal RNA", at positions 137 to 688 of the family's 2925-position model. Lineage: Bacteria; Pseudomonadati; Pseudomonadota; Gammaproteobacteria; Enterobacterales; Enterobacteriaceae. The record is from RNAcentral. RNAcentral also lists the same sequence under 2 other names.
GACUCGUCACACUAUCAUUAACUGAAUCCAUAGGUUAAUGAGGCGAACCGGGGGAACUGAAACAUCUAAGUACCCCGAGGAAAAGAAAUCAACCGAGAUUCCCCCAGUAGCGGCGAGCGAACGGGGAGGAGCCCAGAGCCUGAAUCAGCAUGUGUGUUAGUGGAAGCGUCUGGAAAGGCGCGCGAUACAGGGUGACAGCCCCGUACACAAAAGCGCAUGUGCUGUGAGCUCGAUGAGUAGGGCGGGACACGUGGUAUCCUGUCUGAAUAUGGGGGGACCAUCCUCCAAGGCUAAAUACUCCUGACUGACCGAUAGUGAACCAGUACCGUGAGGGAAAGGCGAAAAGAACCCCGGCGAGGGGAGUGAAAAAGAACCUGAAACCGUGUACGUACAAGCAGUGGGAGCACCCUUUGGGGUGUGACUGCGUACCUUUUGUAUAAUGGGUCAGCGACUUAUAUUCUGUAGCAAGGUUAACCGAAUAGGGGAGCCGGAGGGAAACCGAGUCUUAAC